This 468-nucleotide ribosomal RNA is filed under the name uncultured bacterium. RNAcentral's name for it is "partial 16S ribosomal RNA". It matches the Rfam family "Bacterial small subunit ribosomal RNA", at positions 28 to 507 of the family's 1533-position model. The record is from RNAcentral.
GACGAACGCUGGCGGCGUGCUUAACACAUGCAAGUCGAACGGAAAGGCCCUGCUUUUGUGGGGUGUUCGAGUGGCGAACGGGUGAGUAACACGUGAGUAACCUGCCCUUGACUUUGGGAUAACUUCAGGAAACUGGGGCUAAUACCGGAUAGGAGCUCCUGCAGCAUGGUGGGGGUUGGAAAGUUUCGGCGGUUGGGGAUGGACUCGCGGGUAAUCAGCUUGUUGGUGGGGUAGUGGCUUACCAAGGCUUUGACGGGUAGCCGGCCUGGGAGGGUGACCGGCCACAUUGGGACUGAGGUACGGGCCAGACUCCUACGGGGGGCAGCAGUGGGGAGUAUUGCACAAUGGGCGGGAGCCUGAUGCAGCAACGCCGCGUGCGGGAUGACGGUCUUCGGGUUGGAAACCGCUUUCGCCUGUGACGAAGCGGGAGUGACGGUAAUGGGUAAAGAAGCACCGGCUAACUACGUG